This 399-nucleotide ribosomal RNA is filed under the name uncultured bacterium. Its description in RNAcentral is "bacterial SSU rRNA". It matches the Rfam family "Bacterial small subunit ribosomal RNA", at positions 140 to 518 of the family's 1533-position model. The record is from RNAcentral.
GGGAUAGCCCAGGGAAACCUGGAUUAAUACCGGAUGGAGACGGGACCUGCGAGUGGCGGGAUCCGGGAAAGGCGCUACGGCGCCGCCGGGGGAUGAGUCUGCGUCCCAUUAGCUAGACGGCGGGUAACGGCCCACCGUGGCGACGAUGGGUAGCCGGCCUGAGAGGGUGGACGGCCACAUUGGAACUGAGACACGGUCCAGACUCCUACGGGAGGCAGCAGCUAAGAAUCGUUACCGCAAUGGGCGAAAGCCUGACGGAGCGAACGCCGCGUGAACGAAGAAGGACCGUGAGGUUGUAAAGUUCUUUUCGGGAAGGGGGAACAACCGUGGCCAGGGAAUGGCCGUCGGGAUGACGUGAAUCCCGGAAUAAGCCCCGGCUAACUACGUGCCAGCCGCCGC